Molecule: ribosomal RNA, 858 nt
Filed under: uncultured bacterium
Lineage: Bacteria
Description: bacterial SSU rRNA
Rfam family: Bacterial small subunit ribosomal RNA
Source: RNAcentral
UACGGAGGGUGCAAGCAUUAAUCGGAUUUAUUGGGCGUAAAGGGCGCGUAGGCGGAUACAUAAGUCAGGUGUGAAAUUUCGGGGCUCAACCCCGAAGCUGCAUUUGAAACUGUGUGUCUUGAGGGUAGGCGGAGAAAAUGGAAUUCCACAUGUAGCGGUGAAAUGCGUAGAUAUGUGGAAGAACACCUGUGGCGAAAGCGGUUUUCUAGCUUAUUCCUGACGCUGAGGCGCGAGAGCAAGGGGAGCAAACAGGAUUAGAUACCCUGGUAGUCCUUGCCGUAAACGAUGUAUACUUGGUGUAGUUGGGCUCAACCCUGACUGUGCCGUAGCUAACGUGUUAAGUAUACCGCCUGGGGAGUACGCUCGCAAGAGUGAAACUCAACAGAAUUGACGGGGGCCCGCACAAGCAGUGGAGCAUGUGGUUUAAUUCGAUGCAACGCGAAGAACCUUACCCAGGUUUGACAUGCAGUAGACAGUACUAGAGAUAGUACCUCCCGCAAGGGCUGCUGCACAGGUGCUGCAUGGCUGUCGUCAGCUCGUGCCGUGAGGUGUUGGGUUAAGUCCCGCAACGAGCGCAACCCUUGUCAUUAGUUACCAGCGAGUAAGGUCGGGGACUCUAAUGAGACUGCCCAGGUUAACUGGGAGGAAGGUGAGGAUGACGUCAAGUCCGCAUGGCCUUUAUAUCUGGGGCUACACACGUGCUACAAUGGUCGGUACAGAAGGCAGCUAAGCCGAAAGGUGGAGCAAAUCCGGAAAGCCGAUCUCAGUUCGAAUUGUAGUCUGCAACUCGACUACAUGAAGUUGGAAUUGCUAGUAAUGGCGUGUCAGCAAUAACGCCGUGAAUACGUUCUCGGGCCU